GCAAACGUCAAACCGCUAACGAAGUUGUUAGUUUUAGAACUCUAUUAUAACAGCUUUUACACCAGUUUUGAAAUAUAUUAAACAAUUAUUAAACUUGUGCUCUUUAGCAAUGAUUUAAGAAAGCAAAUUAACAACUAGUCACGUAUUCACCAAAGCUGUAAAUUAAGAGCUGGCGUUUGAAGUUGAUGUUUGGCGUAUAAAUUUUAUGCUUGAACUGUUACGAGAGCU
Molecule: non-coding RNA, 228 nt
Organism: Paramuricea clavata
Lineage: Eukaryota; Metazoa; Cnidaria; Anthozoa; Malacalcyonacea; Plexauridae
Source: the annotation of a GenBank genome assembly